AGUCGAACGAUGAAGCCCAGCUUGCUGGGUGGAUUAGUGGCGAACGGGUGAGUAACACGUGAGUAACCUGCCCUUAACUCUGGGAUAAGCCUGGGAAACUGGGUCUAAUACCGGAUAGGAGCGUCCACCGCAUGGUGGGUGUUGGAAAGAUUUAUCGGUUUUGGAUGGACUCGCGGCCUAUCAGCUUGUUGGUGAGGUAAUGGCUCACCAAGGCGACGACGGGUAGCCGGCCUGAGAGGGUGACCGGCCACACUGGGACUGAGACACGGCCCAGACUCCUACGGGAGGCAGCAGUGGGGAAUAUUGCACAAUGGGCGCAAGCCUGAUGCAGCGACGCCGCGUGAGGGAUGACGGCCCUUCGGGUUGUAAACCUCUUUCAGUAGGGAAGAAGCGAAAAGUGACGGUACCUGCAGAAGAAGCACCGGCUAACUACGUGCCAGCAGCCGCGGUAAUACGUAGGGUGCGAGCGUUAUCCGGAAUUAUUGGGCGUAAAGAGCUCGUAGGCGGUUUGUCGCGUCUGUCGUGAAAGUCCGGGGCUUAACCCCGGAUCUGCGGUGGGUACGGGCAGACUAGAGUGCAGUAGGGGAGACUGGAAUUCCUGGUGUAGCGGUGGAAUGCGCAGAUAUCAGGAGGAACACCGAUGGCGAAGGCAGGUCUCUGGGCUGUAACUGACGCUGAGGAGCGAAAGCAUGGGGAGCGAACAGGAUUAGAUACCCUGGUAGUCCAUGCCGUAAACGUUGGGCACUAGGUGUGGGGACCAUUCCACGGUUUCCGCGCCGCAGCUAACGCAUUAAGUGCCCCGCCUGGGGAGUACGGCCGCAAGGCUAAAACUCAAAGGAAUUGACGGGGGCCCGCACAAGCGGCGGAGCAUGCGGAUUAAUUCGAUGCAACGCGAAGAACCUUACCAAGGCUUGACAUGUUCUCGAUCGCCGUAGAGAUACGGGUUUCCCCUUUGGGGCGGGUUCACAGGUGGUGCAUGGUUGUCGUCAGCUCGUGUCGUGAGAUGUUGGGUUAAGUCCCGCAACGAGCGCAACCCUCGUUCCAUGUUGCCAGCACGUCGUGGUGGGGACUCAUGGGAGACUGCCGGGGUCAACUCGGAGGAAGGUGAGGACGACGUCAAAUCAUCAUGCCCCUUAUGUCUUGGGCUUCACGCAUGCUACAAUGGCCGGUACAAUGGGUUGCGAUACUGUGAGGUGGAGCUAAUCCCAAAAAGCCGGUCUCAGUUCGGAUUGGGGUCUGCAACUCGACCCCAUGAAGUCGGAGUCGCUAGUAAUCGCAGAUCAGCAACGCUGCGGUGAAUACGUUCCCGGGCCUUGUACACACCGCCCGUCAAGUCACGAAAGUUGGUAACACCCGAAGCCGGUGGCCUAACCCUUGUGG
Molecule: ribosomal RNA, 1380 nt
Filed under: Micrococcus sp.
Lineage: Bacteria; Bacillati; Actinomycetota; Actinomycetes; Micrococcales; Micrococcaceae
Description: bacterial SSU rRNA
Rfam family: Bacterial small subunit ribosomal RNA
Source: RNAcentral